UUGCGCCGAAGGCGGUAGGGUGCGCGGGGAAUUGCUGCUUAGAGAAGACGGUCAACCAUUUACCGCCUUCAAGAGAUCCUGCUUAAAGACGGUGAACGAGUCACCGUCUUUAUGAGAAAUGCUGACCUGGCAGCUGAGGUGGCGAGAGGAGGGUUAGUUUUACAAAUAAAAUUUUCACAGGAUUAGUUUGGCAAAUAUGAAAUUUUACAGGGUUAUUUUCGGAAAAGUCCUUAUUAGAUGAUUUUAAUUUUAGCAUUUUUAGUUUUAU
RNAcentral lists this long non-coding RNA (268 nucleotides) under Ananas comosus (pineapple). RNAcentral's name for it is "long non-coding RNA (ACOM_LNC038502)". Lineage: Eukaryota; Viridiplantae; Streptophyta; Magnoliopsida; Poales; Bromeliaceae. The record is from RNAcentral.